RNAcentral lists this ribosomal RNA (800 nucleotides) under uncultured Neocallimastigales. Its description in RNAcentral is "partial large subunit ribosomal RNA". It matches the Rfam family "Eukaryotic large subunit ribosomal RNA", at positions 24 to 635 of the family's 3401-position model. Lineage: Eukaryota; Fungi; Neocallimastigomycota; Neocallimastigomycetes; Neocallimastigales. The record is from RNAcentral.
UAUCUCUGUAGAGUCUGCAUAUCAAUAAGCGGAGGAAAAGAAACUAACAAGGAUUCCCUUAGUAACGGCGAGUGAAGCGGGAAGAGCUCAAAUUUGAAAUCUUCAAGGUUUUACCUUGACGAAUUGUAGUUUAAAGAAGUGUUUUCUGUUAGAUGAGUUUCGGUAAAAGUUCCUUUGGAAUAGGGACAUCAUAGAGGGUGAGAAUCCCGUAUUUGAGCUAUUCAUUUCCUAGCUUUGUGAUACACUUUCAAAGAGUCGGAUUGUUUGGGAAUGCAGUCCAAAAUGGGUGGUAAAUUUCAUCUAAAGCUAAAUAUUGGCGAGAGACCGAUAGCGAACAAGUACCGUGAGGGAAAGAUGAAAAGAACUUUGAAAAGAGAGUUAAACAGUACGUGAAAUUGUCAAAAGGGAAGCGUUUGACACCAGUGUUGUUUUUCUCGAAAAAUCAAUUAAGAAAUGGCAUGAUUUUGUGUUGUAUUGACCUUUAUCAGCUUUCUGCACUCUUUUCUUGAGUCUUUUUUAAUGCACUUUUUCGGUUUAACAAGUCAACAUCAAUUUCUUUUGUUGUAAAAGGAGUCAUUCGGAAGGUGGCUUUCUUUUCGGAGAAAAGUGUUUAUAGCCCUUAUGCCUUCUACAAUCGGAGAGAUUGAGGUCUGCAGCGUAGAUCCUUCGGGGUUAGAUACACUUUGUGCUAAGUUAGUAGCCUUUUCAUAGACAACUUGUUGACUAUGAUCAGUCAUGUAGGCUUACUCGCUUAGUGCUAUUUUACCUACGCUUAGGAUGUUGAAGAUGUAGCACAUCAU